Long non-coding RNA from Bubalus bubalis (water buffalo), 660 nucleotides. RefSeq lists it as uncharacterized. The record is from RefSeq and is a predicted model, not a curated record. Lineage: Eukaryota; Metazoa; Chordata; Mammalia; Artiodactyla; Bovidae. The transcript has 3 exons.
AAAGAAGCCCCGCCAGUAGUUGCGCACCGCAAAGAAGGUGGAGGUGACCUCAAUGCUGAAUAGCACACCUGCGGGGGUGGGGGCAGGGAGGCCGCCCUUGAGGCCUGGGCCUGGCCCAUGGCCUCUGACCCAAGGGCCGGGCUGGGGCUGACCCUCUCUGCCCACCUCCAAUGGGAGCCGCAAAGCAGCAGCCCACCCCCACGGCACAGGCGGCAGCCAGCAUCUCUGUGUUCCGGGAUUCAUUCUGGCGAAGAGUAGUGGGAAGGGGAGUCGGCAUUAGCGUGGGCUCAGCGGUCCACCCCACCCCUAAACCUUCCCCCAACGUCCCCCUCACCUCGUAGAUGCCCCCAAACAGCGAGAGGAACUUGCUGAGAAGGGCGGCACACAUGCUUGCGAUAUGCACAAAAGGGCCCUGGGAGGUAGAGGCAGGUGCCUGAGGAGCCAGGAUCUGUGUGAAUCCGGCAGAGAAAGUGAUGAGGACGACGGGGUAGGUGACCCAGGCCAGAUACUGGAGUAACAGCCCUCGUCCUCACCCUGCAGACAGGCAGCGAUGGCGUAGUCCAUGGCCCAGCUGACCAGGGCCAUGAGGAGCCCCAGCAGGACUAGGAAGAUCCAGUCUUCACCAACCCUGGACACUAGGAACUUAUGGCAGUGUACGGU